UACGGAGGAUGCAAGCGUUAUCCGGAAUGAUUGGGCGUAAAGCGUCCGCAGGUGGCUGUGUAAGUCUGCUGUCAAAGAGCAAAGCUCAACUUUGUAAAGGCAGUGGAAACUACACGGCUAGAGUGCGUUCGGGGCAGAGGGAAUUCCUGGUGUAGCGGUGAAAUGCGCAGAUAUCAGGAAGAACACCCGUGGCGAAGGCGGCUCUCUGGGACGGUACUGACGCUGAGACGCGAAAGCGUGGGGAGCGAACAGG
This 253-nucleotide ribosomal RNA is filed under the name uncultured bacterium. RNAcentral describes it as "partial 16S ribosomal RNA". It matches the Rfam family "Bacterial small subunit ribosomal RNA", at positions 524 to 776 of the family's 1533-position model. The record is from RNAcentral.